AGAGUUUGAUCAUGGCUCAGAUUGAACGCUGGCGGUAGGCUUAACACAUGCAAGUCGUGCGAGAAAGUAUCUUCGGAUAUGAGUAGAGCGGCGGACGGGUGAGUAACGCGUAGGAAUCUACCUAGUAGAAGGGGAUAGCCCGGGGAAACCCGGAUUAAUACCGUAUACCUCCUUCGGGAGAAAGAAGGCCUCUCUUUGAAGCUUUCGCUAUUAGAUGAGCCUGCGUAAGAUUAGCUUGUUGGUGAGGUAAAGGCUCACCAAGGCGACGAUCUUUAGCUGGUCUGAGAGGACGAUCAGCCACAUUGGGACUGAGACACGGCCCAGACUCCUACGGGAGGCAGCAGUGGGGAAUAUUGGACAAUGGGCGCAAGCCUGAUCCAGCCAUACCGCGUGUGUGAAGAAGGCCUUCGGGUUGUAAAGCACUUUAAGCAGGGAGAAAAAGUUAUAAGUUAAUACCUUAUAACCGUGAUGUUACCUGCAGAAUAAGCACCCGGCUAAUUCCGUGCCAGCAGCCGCGGUAAUACGGAAGGUGCAAGCGUUAAUCGGAAUUACUGGGCGUAAAGCGCGCGUAGGUGGUUUGUUAAGUUGGAUGUGAAAGCCCUGGGCUCAACCUAGGAACUGCAUCCAAAACUAACUCACUAGAGUACGAUAGAGGGAGGUAGAAUUCAUAGUGUAGCGGUGGAAUGCGUAGAUAUUAUGAAGAAUACCAGUGGCGAAGGC
Molecule: ribosomal RNA, 720 nt
Filed under: uncultured marine bacterium
Lineage: Bacteria
Description: bacterial SSU rRNA
Rfam family: Bacterial small subunit ribosomal RNA
Source: RNAcentral